RNAcentral lists this ribosomal RNA (253 nucleotides) under uncultured bacterium. Its description in RNAcentral is "partial 16S ribosomal RNA". It matches the Rfam family "Bacterial small subunit ribosomal RNA", at positions 524 to 776 of the family's 1533-position model. The record is from RNAcentral.
UACGUAGGGGGCAAGCGUUGUCCGGAUUUAUUGGGCGUAAAGAGCGUGUAGGCGGCCUGAAAGGUCAGCUGUGAAAACUCGAGGCUCAACCUCGAGACGUCGGUUGAAACCAUCUGGCUAGAGUCCGGAAGAGGAGAGUGGAAUUCCCGGUGUAGCGGUGAAAUGCGCAGAUAUCGGGAAGAACACCCGUGGCGAGGGCGGCUCUCUGGGACGGUACUGACGCUGAGACGCGAAAGCGUGGGGAGCGAACAGG